Molecule: ribosomal RNA, 579 nt
Filed under: uncultured bacterium
Lineage: Bacteria
Description: bacterial SSU rRNA
Rfam family: Bacterial small subunit ribosomal RNA
Source: RNAcentral
GUCGAGGGGCAGCGGUGGUGAAGGCUUGCCUUUACCAGCCGGCGACCGGCGCACGGGUGAGUAACACGUAUGCAACCUGCCUGCCACAGCCGGAUAAUCGGGAGAAAUUCCGUCUAAUACGGCAUAAUGCACCUAUGGGACAUCCUGUUGGUGCCAAAGGUUGAUUCCGGUGGCGGAUGGGCAUGCGUCGCAUUAGUUAGUUGGCGGUGUAACGGACCACCAAGACGACGAUGCGUAGGGGUUCUGAGAGGAAGGUCCCCCACACUGGUACUGAGACACGGACCAGACUCCUACGGGAGGCAGCAGUGAGGAAUAUUGGUCAAUGGGCGGGAGCCUGAACCAGCCAAGUCGCGUGAGGGAUGACGGCCCUAUGGGUUGUAAACCUCUUUUGCCGGGGAGCAAAGUGCCGCACGUGUGCGGUUUGGAGAGUACCCGGAGAAAAAGCAUCGGCUAACUCCGUGCCAGCAGCCGCGGUAAUACGGAGGAGGCGGGCGUUAUCCGGAUUUAUUGGGUUUAAAGGGUGCGUAGGCGGACGCUUAAGUCAGCGGUAAAAUUGCGGGGCUCAACGUGGUCGAGCCG